RNAcentral lists this small nuclear RNA (21 nucleotides) under Arabidopsis thaliana (thale cress). Its description in RNAcentral is "snRNA_03804". Lineage: Eukaryota; Viridiplantae; Streptophyta; Magnoliopsida; Brassicales; Brassicaceae. The record is from RNAcentral.
AGAGACGACCCUGACUUCACC